CCUACGGGAGGCAGCAGUCGAGAAUCAUUCACAAUGGGGGAAACUCUGAUGGUGCGACGCCGCGUGGGGGAAGGAAGGUCUUCGGAUUGUAAACCCCUGUCAUGGGGGAGAAAAUUAAAAAGAGAGUACCACAAGAGGAAGAGACGGCGAAACAGGUGCCAGCAGCCGCGGUAAUACAGAGGUAUCAAGAGUUGUUCGGAAUCACUGGGCGUAAAGCGUGCGUAGGCUGUUUCGUACGUCGUGUGUGAAAGGUGCGGGCUCAACCCGCGGACGGCACAUGAUACUGCGAGACUAGAGUAAUGGAGUGGGAACCGGAAUUCUCGGUGUAGCAGUGAAAUGCGUAGAUAUC
Molecule: ribosomal RNA, 349 nt
Filed under: uncultured bacterium
Lineage: Bacteria
Description: partial 16S ribosomal RNA
Rfam family: Bacterial small subunit ribosomal RNA
Source: RNAcentral